AUACGGAGGAUCCGAGCGUUAUCCGGAUUUAUUGGGUUUAAAGGGUGCGCAGGCGGCCAUUUAAGUCAGCGGUUAAAUCGUGGGGCUCAACCCCAUUCUGCCGUUGAUACUGGGUGGCUUGAUUGCGGUCGAGGUCGGCGGAAUUCGUUGUGUAGCGGGGAAAUGCAUAGAUAUGACGAAGAACACCGAUUGCGUAGGCAGCUGACCAGACCGCAAAUGACGCUCAUGCACGUAAGUGCGGGGAUCGAACAGGAUUAGAUACCCUGGUAGUCCGCACAGUAAACGAUGAAUACUUGUUUUCGGCGAUAUAAUGUCGGAGGCAAAGCGAAAGCGAUAAGUAUUCCACCUGGGGAGUACGCCGGCAACGGUGAAACUCAAAUGAAUUGACGGGG
RNAcentral lists this ribosomal RNA (392 nucleotides) under uncultured bacterium. RNAcentral describes it as "partial 16S ribosomal RNA". It matches the Rfam family "Bacterial small subunit ribosomal RNA", at positions 523 to 918 of the family's 1533-position model. The record is from RNAcentral.